CAAAUAUUAUGCUAGCUUAGAAGCAUAAGUAUAACAUAAUAGAUUUGAGCUCUUAUUAAUGAACGUUUGGGCUUUUAAUCACAUCUUAUGUGUAAAGGAGCGGUUUUGAUAGCUUUGUAAACGUUUUCGAUGAUAAUAUGUCAAAAGAUAAAUGGAAGUAAGCUAAUUAAUUAAAACUAAAAGUCUGCACUGUAGAGUCUAUCAGUGACGUCACUCGCGGUCUAAAUUUGACUGACACUAUUUCAAACCAGUGUUUCAAACACGUUUUGAUUUUUCAUUGUAAACAAAUAUUGAUUAAAAUUGUACUGUGAUUUCAGGAGUGUCUUAAAAACCCUCUAAAACAGAGGGGAAGUUCCAAGAAAAUUUCUAAUGGGAGCUGCUGACAGAGAUCGAAAACACAGUUUGUUUAUUUCUAAUAAGGAGCUGGAGGCUGUAGACAAGCAGAUCCGUGACCUCGUGGAGAAGCAGGCCCAGCUGAGAGAGUGGAGAGCUGUGCUGGAAACAUUCAUGGGUUGACGCUCAUAAGUCCAGGUGUAAGACAUGAGCCAGGACCUGGGCGAUGACCUCUCUCCUUCCAACGCCUCCGGUCUUCAGGAUCUCCACCUGCAGGAGCUCCACUGCA
Carassius carassius (crucian carp) is the source of this 622-nucleotide long non-coding RNA. RefSeq lists it as uncharacterized. The record is from RefSeq and is a predicted model, not a curated record. The transcript has 3 exons. Lineage: Eukaryota; Metazoa; Chordata; Actinopteri; Cypriniformes; Cyprinidae.